RNAcentral lists this ribosomal RNA (434 nucleotides) under uncultured bacterium. RNAcentral describes it as "partial 16S ribosomal RNA". It matches the Rfam family "Bacterial small subunit ribosomal RNA", at positions 29 to 507 of the family's 1533-position model. The record is from RNAcentral.
GCGCACGCUGGCGGCAGGCUUAACACCUGCCAGUCGAGCGGGCACUUUCGGGUGUCCGCGGCGGACGGGUGAGUAACGCGUGGGAACGUGCCCUCUGGUUCGGAAUAACUCAGGGAAACUUGAGCUAAUACCGGAUACGCCCUUUUGGGGAAAGGCUUGCUGCCGGAGGAUCGGCCCGCGUCUGAUUAGCUAGUUGGUGAGGUAACGGCUCACCAAGGCGACGAUCAGUAGCUGGUCUGAGAGGAUGAUCAGCCACACUGGGACUGAGACACGGCCCAGACUCCUACGGGAGGCAGCAGUGGGGAAUAUUGGACAAUGGGCGCAAGCCUGAUCCAGCCAUGCCGCGUGAGUGAUGAAGGCCUUAGGGUUGUAAAGCUCUUUUAUCCGGGACGAUAAUGACGGUACCGGAGGAAUAAGCCCCGGCUAACUUCGUG